RNAcentral lists this long non-coding RNA (367 nucleotides) under Cicer arietinum (chickpea). RNAcentral's name for it is "long non-coding RNA (CARI_LNC000059)". The record is from RNAcentral. Lineage: Eukaryota; Viridiplantae; Streptophyta; Magnoliopsida; Fabales; Fabaceae.
CGAACGUUAGUAAAAUAAUUGAAAAAUAUUUACAUUACAUUCAAUAUUAAUAGCUAAACGAUUUAGAUUCAUUCAAAUAUGAAAGGGUGUUCCCAUUUCACUAUCAAAAUAUAUUCAAUUCUACUUAUAUUUUUUUUUAACUGAAAAAUUUAAUAUAUUUUAAGUUGAUUCAAACAUGAGAGAAUUUAGAGACAUAAUACCAUUUUUAUUUUGUAUACUUACAUUACACGCAGCCCAGUAGAAAAGACCAGAAACGUGAGUUGCUUCGGAACUAAGAAACCUAUAACUAAAAUAAUGCACCUUUCAGCAAAGUAGGUCAAAUGUGAUCUAUGUUCGUUGUACAAUAAAGUUACAUGCAUCUUUGUGC